Small nucleolar RNA from Lemur catta (Ring-tailed lemur), 101 nucleotides. RefSeq annotates it as small nucleolar RNA U13. NCBI's taxonomy places the organism in Eukaryota, Metazoa, Chordata, Mammalia, Primates, Lemuridae. The transcript has a single exon. The record is from RefSeq and is a predicted model, not a curated record.
AUCCUAUUGUAGUUCAUGAGCAUGAUGAUUGGGUUUUCACGUGCAUGCGCAAGCUAUGCCUCCCUCAAUCCUUAUUACGUCGGCACAUUACCCCUCUGACU